AUGAAUGAUUAGUCGGGAUUUGAACGUUAAUUGUUGGUUAUAAUUGUUGACGUAUAGAUCUAAUUGGGAAUUACCUUAAUUUUCGCAUGUUUGCACAUUGGGACACUGUGUAGCCCCCGAGGACAAUGUUAAUAGUAAGUUGCUUAGGUUCCAUAGCUUAUGGUGGCUGUGGAAUAGAAUGAUAACAAAUGUAGGAAAUUCAUAGUCUUUACAAUAGCAUGAUUUGAAGAAGAGGAUUCCGGGAGCCCUGGAAAAUGAUGUAUGGAGUCUAUGUGAUGGGUUAUCAGAGUCGGAAAAGAGGUGAAAUCGGUCUGUUAAUCCAUUGUCCGGUGUUCAAAUACAAUUGCCACAUCAAAAUACCACCGAACGUUAUCAAUCCAUCAAGGCUUUACAACCAUGGACCUUUAUACAUAAAGCAGUUCUGACAGCUAAUUCUUAUUGAUACGUCUGAUUACAUUCUCAUGGUAAUUGAGGGAAAACGUCCAGUCGCUCAGUUUAUGCAGACCCGGAGAUUUUUUAUGGACCGGGAUUAAAAAAUUGACCUAUCAAGGACAUAUCAAUGAUGUGUUAUAUUUCAGUGGCAACUUUUAUGCAAUCGGUUAUAGCGGCUAGGGAUUUAGGGGACAAAGCUUUUUUCUUGGGUGUGAUGCUUCUCUUUGGGUCCAAGCUUCUCAACUUCCGGGAAUCAAGCCCGAUCAUAGUUAUAUUACAGAUGAUUGUUUGAGUGCAUACCUCCAGUUUAAAGAAGGUGGCGGCUUGGACAUGGGGGUGUUCACCUUAGCUGAUGGCAGUAUCCAGCCACAUUAUAUGGUGUUCCCUCAGCCGCGUCUGUCCUCCAAUUUGGGUCACAUCAAAUCCUUGUUGAGCAUCCUUUGAUCCAUCAAAUCCAGUUACAUCUGUUGAUGUUCAUAAAAAAUUUGAAAAUCGUUCCUAGAAGCACAUGCAUUUGAAGGAAGCCGAUGCACUAAAGCUCUCGCUAUAUGCGGGUUUCGGGGAAGGGCAGAACCACAAGGGUUAGAAGCACAAACCUAUGACUCAAGUUAUCGUGGAUAUACAAGAAUGUAGCAUAAUUUGCAGCUACACAUCUAGCAUUGUAAAUGGCUGGUUGCUCGGAGCUUCCACAGUAUUUGCUGAGGUUGAUUGGUCAUUGUCUUGUUACAUAUACCAAGUCCAGUUCACAUGUGUUUGAACUUCAUGGAGGAAUUUUGGAUUUGUGGUGGAUUUUAGAUAUUCUGGAUGGGAACGAUGCAUAAGAGGAAGGUGAACUUGUUUGAUGUGUGGAUGACUCGUUGGCGUCAGCAAAGAAAGCCAAUGGAAGCUUAAAUGGUGUAAACAACAUGACGCCUUCGAUCAACAAGUGAUACGAAAUGCCUUACAGAGAUUCUAUGAAAUUUUGGGAAAGAGGAAGACUCUUCCCAUAUGGCAUCAAAAAGAGUAGUUCUCCAUCACCGGUUGUCAUCACCAGGUCUCCUAAAACCGAGGAACUGGUAGUGUCCCUCAAUGACCAUGACCGCAGGGUCAGAUAUAUGAGAAGAGGAUUAGCUGAUAGAUGUUCAUCGUUCUGAAGUCUUGUUGGGUCUAUAAUGUUCGGUGUUAUUCUGAUGUGGCAACUGGAUUUGAACACCGGAUAAUGGAUGCAACAGACUGAUUUCACCCUCUUCUCCAUCUGUGAUAAGCCAUUCCAUAGAUUCCAUACAUCGUUUUCCACUGGCUCCUGGAAUACUCUUCUUCAUAAUCAUGCCAUUAUAUAGACUGAAGAAUUUUCUACAUGUUUUAACAUCCUCGUCCUCAGCUAGCAUUAGCCAUGGAACCCUUGCCAAAUUACUAUUAACAUUAUCCUUGGUGGCCACAGAGUGCCACAAUCUGCGAACAGUGCGGAAAUUAAG
Molecule: long non-coding RNA, 1886 nt
Organism: Solanum stenotomum
Lineage: Eukaryota; Viridiplantae; Streptophyta; Magnoliopsida; Solanales; Solanaceae
Exons: 5
Source: RefSeq, a predicted model, not a curated record